RNAcentral lists this long non-coding RNA (2669 nucleotides) under Nicotiana benthamiana. Its description in RNAcentral is "long non-coding RNA (NBEN_LNC006846)". Lineage: Eukaryota; Viridiplantae; Streptophyta; Magnoliopsida; Solanales; Solanaceae. The record is from RNAcentral.
UAGGAUAAACGUACAAGGGAGUUUUUCAAUUAAAGUGAUAUUAUUCGAAAUGAGAUUCUUUAUUUAUUAUGAGCCAUCACUUGGGAUAGGUUUGGCUUUGGUGUCCCAAGUCACCGGUUUAUUCAGAAUCCCAAAUCGAGAAAAUGUUUUGACUUCCCAAAUGGAGUCUGGGAACCCGAAAUUCGAAGUAAGGAAUUUUGUUGACCCGAGGGAAGGUGUUAGGCACCCCCGAAUCCCGUGGUUCUAGCACAAUCGCUUAAACUAUUAUAAAUGGCUAAAAUUCUAAUUUUACACAUGUUCAUCCUAAAAAUGCGAUUUUUAAUUACUUACACCGCUUUUAAUAUUUUUUAAAGGAAAUUGCAAUAUCGUUAAAACAUGCAACGAACCACGUCACAGAAAUGCACCCGCGGUUUUUGACAUAUUUUAAUUUUAUUGAGAUUUGAAUUUGGGUAACAUAAAUAUGCACUUGUACUUAGGAAGAUAAAAUUAUUAAAGACGCACUUAAAGCGACUAUCAUGUUAUUUGCGGGAAGCCGUGAAGUUCGCUAAACGGCGUGUCCUGAAUUCUCGCUUACCUGCCCGACGGGUAGACCCAAUAGAAUAAAUAGAAUAAGAGGCUUGACCUAGAGCCCUUCUCUUCCCCCUGAAAAAAAUCGGAUAUUUGGCAUGAGUAGCCUACGAGCCCUUACUUGAUGUCUGCGCUAACUGCCCUAUAGCUGGUGAAUCCUUUGAAUCAUAGGAAUGGCAAAAUCAGUAGAUACCGGGCGGAUAUUUGGCAUGAGUUAGACCCAAUAGAAUAAAUAGAAUAAGAGGCUUGACCUAGAGCUCUUCUCUUCCCCCUGAAAAAAAUCGGAUAUUUGGCAUGAGUAGCCUACGAGCCCUUCUAAGUAUUUUAAUAUGAACAUUUAAAGAGAGCCACGCAAUUUAUGGGUUUUAUUUGGCACUGUGCAGCUCAAUUCCGAUGUUAUCUACUACGGCCCACUUCCACUAAUUAUUUAAAGAGAAAUUUCCAAAUUUGGUUUUGAGGGCUAUAGCUAUUGGAAUUACAAGAAUCAUUUAUACUAUGUAGCUUCCGUUUGCCUCUUGAAAUUUAACGACUAAUGUAACAAAUGAAUACACUGAUUUUGAUAACUAUGUAAACUCAAAGGGAAACAAAGUACUUAUUUAACAAUCUUUUAUUAAAAAAAAAACGUAAAGCAAAAAGCAUUUGUCAUUGAGCAGUAACAACACAUGUAGUCCAUAUCUUGUUAUGUCGUGUUUUGACAAUAAUUGCUUAAUGAAAUCACUAGCAUUUUAGUAAUCAACUUGAACAUUGCAUCUACUAGCCCAAUAAUGAACAGAUCUUAGCAAGACGGACUUGAGAUAUUCAUCUCCUUUCAAGCUCACUUUGGAAAUUUAAUGUUUUAGAAAUAUGGCUAGGAAUAUCAUCGAGUUUAUCUUCUGCAUCAAGCACAACAUUAAAAUUCCCAACAAAUGAACAAGGUUCAGCCUAUAUAUACAACACCUCUAUUCAAUUAUAGACCAAGCAGAUUUAAAUUUAAAGCAUAGGAAAUACUAUCACAGAGAAUAUUUCCAACAAGUCAAAAUAGUUAAAUACCAUUUCCUAUUAAUUAACAAAUAAAACAAAAAACAAAAAUUUCAUAGCCUCAGCAAACUCCAAAAAAGAAAAGGCCGAAUUAUCUAUUAAUAUCAAGCCUAGCAUCUCUCAUACCCUACUCGAAUCUCCUGCAUUACUUUGCAUUUUAUUUUAUAUAUAACAAAAAGGAAGAAAGCAAACAAUAGCAUAAUAUCGUUCGAAUUUCCCCAAGAGCAAGGUGGAAAAUUCUUGGAGGGAAGGAUGCCGAGAUCUAUUUGAAAACGGCCUCUCUACUCCAGGGUAGAGGUAAGGUCACUGAAUUAUACUAUCCUCCCUAGACCCCGCUAUGUGAGAUUAUACUGGUUGUUUGUUGUUGUAAAAAGCAAUAUUAGCUGCAAUCCAAAACAUGUCUAAAUAGAUGAAUAAUCAUUGCAGAUCUCGUAACAUAAUACCAUCCAAACAAAUAUUACAUUAUUUGAAAUUAGAAACUCAUACCUUGACCAUAAAAAAGAAUCCCAAACAUAAGCCAAACAGAAGCUGGACAGAGAACCCAGCUGAAGCUCAACAAGACAGCAAACAACACGACCGCAACCCACGGGAAAAAUCAGCCUUCGACCGCUUACAUUCAAAAAUCUGGAAUAAUUUGAUUUUCAUCUUGGAAACAACUUGAGAACUCAAAAAUAUGCAGCGACUAAACAAAAUUGGAACUAACUUCAAUUUCCCCUCUUCUUUUGGACUUGUGCUCCAAUUUCUGGAGCAUUUGUUUUCGAUUUAGGGCUUUUUUAAAAAUAAAAAUAAAAAAUUCUUAGCUCUAAUAUGUGCUUCUACUAUGUGUUAGUGAGAAGGGAUGAGUAAGUGUGAGGAAGAAGGAGAAGAAAAUCUCUUAAGAAGAUAGUUUAUUCGGUUCUUCGUAAGGAUGGAAAGAGAAAACGCCGAUUUUUGUUCUAUAUGUUUUUUUGCUAAAAACAACCCCCAUCUUUUCUAGGUCUAAUCUUGCUUUAUAAUAAAAAUAAAGUUUGAGCCAAGAGGGUAUUGGAUAUGAUAUUGGGUUGGGCAAGAAAGAAGGAAAUUGGACCCCUUUUUUUGGAACUGGC